Mastomys coucha (southern multimammate mouse) is the source of this 2172-nucleotide long non-coding RNA. RefSeq lists it as uncharacterized. NCBI's taxonomy places the organism in Eukaryota, Metazoa, Chordata, Mammalia, Rodentia, Muridae. The transcript is spliced from 7 exons. The record is from RefSeq and is a predicted model, not a curated record.
UUAGAGAAGAACUUCUUCAAAAAUUCGAGCAUAAGUGCCUUGCAUCCCUGGAAGAGCUUUGUUCCCUGCAGCCAUCUUCACUGGAAUGUGAACUUUCUAAACAUAGAGGCAUUGUUGGCCGGCCAGUCAUCUGACAUGCCCUCUUGGAAUGCACAAAAUCCCAUAUCUCAGAGAAGGACUUCUUCAAAAAUUCGAGCAUAAGUGCCUUGCAUUCCUGGAAGAGCUUUGUGCCCUGCAGCCCUCUUCACUGGAAUGUGAACAUUCUAAACCUAGAUGCAUUGUUGGCCGGCCAGUCAUCUGACAUGCCCUCUUGGAAUGCAGAGAAUCCCAUAUCUCAGGUCUGCCCCUAAGACCAGUACAGGAUUGUUUUCCCUCCACAGUGGGAAGGAGUAAGGAGUAUCUGAAUGGGUAGCAAAGCUGCAUCCAGGUUAACAAGCAAAUGUUGGGAGAACUGCUCUCAGGAUGUAUUCCAAGAUGUUAUCUACCAUCUGCAUGGUAAUUUCACUGAAACCACACAACCAGAGAUAAGAGUUCUGGAGAUUAAACUCAGGUCUUCUUGUAAGCUAUCUACCUUCUCAGCUCACAUACCUAAUUUUCAGGUCAGUAUUUAUUAAAAAUUUAUUUUUCAGCAGUAUUUUGUUGGUAAACAUAUAAGAAUCUAACUGUUCUUUUACAAGUUCUAUAUACCACCACUAAAUAUCAACAAUUACUAGGCUUUACUACUAAAGAAAGAGAUAAUAUUCUUCCUACUAUAAGAAGGUAUAUGCUUAAUAUAUCAUUUCUAAAGUACAAAAUUGUUAAAAAGUUAUCCUUCAAAACUAUAGAUUUUUAAAAAUUCAUAAUUUUAUGUUCCUGAAGAGGAUCUGAUAUUUUACAGUAAAAUACAUUAAUUUAAAAUUAACCUUGGAAAUGGAGAACAAAAACAUACCAACAACAGUAUUAGCUAGAAACCUGUCCUAAAACAGAAUAAUUUUGAACACUUAAAUAUCCAUGAUCAGCUUAGCUCAAACUUGGUUCCAACACAAUGUACUGUCAUCACUGUGCUUUCUCCCAGUUUCCAACCUGCUAAGAAAACAAGUUAGUUAUUGACUCAAAGGCUUAUUGGUAUUCCAGACAGCACACAUCUGUCCAGUCCCUAUUCUUUUCCCCCAGUUCUGGUUCUGAUAUGUUCUAUUAUGAUCACUAAAAAAUAAUUUUCUAUUUUUUUUAUUUUUGUUUGAAAUGUAAAAUAAGCAUAAUAUAGUAUCAAAUAAAUUAAUAAGUGAAAUACUUAAGUUAAUUCCCUAACGUUAAGUCUAAGUUUGUGGUUGCAAAUAUUAUUAUUCCAGACUUUCUAUAGAUAAAACAUGCAUUUAAUCCCAGCACUCCAACUCAGUGAGUUUAGUAAAGUUAUGUCUCCAUAGAAAAUUUGAGUCUAAUGAGGGAUUUAUAGUGAUUUUUUUUAUCUAAAAUAAGACUAACAAGUAAAUAAAUAUUUCCAGUUUUAUCAAAAUAUUUAACCACAAGAUUUUAAAAACAAAAGUAUUGUAGGAAUAAGAGCAACAGCAGCAGCAACAGCAGCAACAUAUGAAACUGAUGAGUCACUUUACAAUUAAAACUGAUUUGAUAUCUACAACUCCUUAAGUAGGCUGCUAAAACCAUCUUACAGAUAGUCCCUUGAAGUAAUAAAGGGAUGAAUAACUUAAGAAAUAGUAAUUCAGAGAAGAAAGGUUUUAAUACAGGGAGUAAGCUUUUAGCCCAGUUUGCCUGUUUUUCCAAAGAAACUAGAGAUAAUAUUUGCUCUUAGAUUUUCUGUGAUUUCUUUGGAUAUCAAUAUUUUCAACAAUAUUCACAUAUUAUUUUCAGAAUCAGGAUGUAUUCCUAUAUAAUUUAAAAAUAGUUGGCAGCUUAAUUCUGUAGGUGAAAAUGUCCAAUCAGCAAUUUAAGAAGACCAUUCUCAAUGUUGCCAAAGUGACUUUGUAGAUUAUCUUGUUUGAGAUGAUGUAUUAGUAGCCCAUCUUUUUAAAAACUCUGGUAACAAAACAUAAAAUGUAAUACUAACCAUACACAAAAGCCAUUAGCAAAUCCAGUCAUGUUAAAAUGUUUUCCUUAAAAAUAGUAACUCUUGCCGGGCGGUGGUGGCGCACGCCUUUAAUCCUAGCACUUGGGAGGCGGAGGCAGGCGGAUUUCCGA